UGUGGGAGCUUGGGGGGAAACCUUGUUUUCUUCAAUCUCUGGAUAAGAGUAUAGAACAGCAUAAGGGAGCUGCAGGAUCUGGUAUUCACAGAGAAUUCCUGUAUAUUCAUGGUUUAGUCUUCUGCAAGCGUUAGUUUCAGCUUUUAUCUGACCCUUACUGCCAAACAACUGGACACCCUCAGGCAGCACUGCCUCCCUCCUAGGGAAGAAAGAGAAGCAAAAAUCUUCCCAAAACUGCUGACGUAGUGGGAAGACCUUUGGGAUGGCACCCUCUGGGUCUUCGCUGAUUGAGAAGUUGCAGUUUUUUGGAAACCCUGUACAUAAUGAGAUGCUCUUCUGCAAUUUGGUACCAUAUGCGUGGAAUCAGGAGCUUCCAUGUAUAUACCAAAGCUGAAGAGUCAGAUGGUCAUGAAGGAGGCUGUGCUAUUUUCAGACCAAAAGAGCACACAAGAAAGGACUGUAUUUGUAUUUAUUACAAACAACAUAUAUAUAUAAAAAUGUAUUUGCUCUAUUUUUAAAGAGUUGGAACAGAGCCAAACACCUUCAGGAGCACCAGGGAAAAUGAUGACAGCAGCAAAAGUCUAUAGACAGAGGCUGAGAUGUUACAAAUCUAUUCAGGAAAUUUACAUUUUUAAAGCAAAACAGAUCAAAUAUUUUUAAGCGUGGAUUUUUUUCAUCAUCAUAAUGUUAAAACACCAUCAAAGAGGCUUAGAUCAUAGGAUUCUCUUACAAGAUUCACUUCUACAAACUGUACUCAUUUCCUAUUCAGGGGUAAAGUUUCUGCAUCUGAAGAUAUAUAUAUAUAUAUAUUUUUUUUUCAGGCUAGUUGUGGCUU
Long non-coding RNA from Numida meleagris (helmeted guineafowl), 835 nucleotides. RefSeq lists it as uncharacterized. The transcript has 3 exons. NCBI's taxonomy places the organism in Eukaryota, Metazoa, Chordata, Aves, Galliformes, Numididae. The record is from RefSeq and is a predicted model, not a curated record.